Molecule: small nuclear RNA, 184 nt
Filed under: Hordeum vulgare subsp. vulgare (domesticated barley)
Lineage: Eukaryota; Viridiplantae; Streptophyta; Magnoliopsida; Poales; Poaceae
Description: U2 spliceosomal RNA
Rfam family: U2 spliceosomal RNA
About the family: U2 is a small nuclear RNA (snRNA) component of the spliceosome (involved in pre-mRNA splicing). Complementary binding between U2 snRNA (in an area lying towards the 5' end but 3' to hairpin I) and the branchpoint sequence (BPS) of the intron results the bulging out of an unpaired adenosine, on the BPS, which initiates a nucleophilic attack at the intronic 5' splice site, thus starting the first of two transesterification reactions that mediate splicing.
Source: Rfam by way of RNAcentral
GUGCCUUCUAAACUGUGACGGAGGGAGUAUCUGUUCUUAUCAAUUUAAUAUCUGAUACGUGGAUCUACGGAUCCACACUAUGAUGUUAAUUUAAUUUUUUGUGGGGAGAGGGUCCGCUGCUUGGGCCCUCGAGCGUCGUCAGGGUCAGGGUUGCACUAUAGCCUUGAAAGUUGACGCACCUCAA